GUGCUGGUGGGUCCUGAUUCUGUGCUGGUGGGUUUGUUUACAUUGUAUCAGAACGGCAAUAAAACGACUGUUUUGUUGCUUAAUUUUUCUCUGAUGUGUCAUAAGUACCAUGCAAAGUAUAUUACAUACAAUUAUAUGUGCAAAAGUCAUGCAAGUUCGUUAAACGGAAUUGUCCUGACGCUGUGCUGGUGAUAAGAAAAACGGUCCUGGUUCUGUGCUCCUAUGUCCUGG
This 231-nucleotide long non-coding RNA is filed under the name Mytilus galloprovincialis (Mediterranean mussel). Lineage: Eukaryota; Metazoa; Mollusca; Bivalvia; Mytilida; Mytilidae. The record is from RNAcentral.